GGAUGCGAUCAUACCAGCACUAAAGCACCGGAUCCCAUCAGAACUCCGAAGUUAAGCGUGCUUGGGCGAGAGUAGUA
Molecule: ribosomal RNA, 77 nt
Filed under: Aegilops tauschii subsp. strangulata
Lineage: Eukaryota; Viridiplantae; Streptophyta; Magnoliopsida; Poales; Poaceae
Source: RNAcentral